UCCCUGGAGGACUAGUGGUUAGGCCACAGUGCUCUCACCGCUGUGGCCCAGGUUUGAUUCCUGGCCAGGGAA
Molecule: transfer RNA, 72 nt
Filed under: Pangasianodon hypophthalmus (striped catfish)
Lineage: Eukaryota; Metazoa; Chordata; Actinopteri; Siluriformes; Pangasiidae
Rfam family: tRNA
About the family: Transfer RNA (tRNA) molecules are approximately 80 nucleotides in length. Their secondary structure includes four short double-helical elements and three loops (D, anti-codon, and T loops).
Source: Rfam by way of RNAcentral